Molecule: transfer RNA, 73 nt
Filed under: Azospirillum doebereinerae
Lineage: Bacteria; Pseudomonadati; Pseudomonadota; Alphaproteobacteria; Rhodospirillales; Azospirillaceae
Rfam family: tRNA
About the family: Transfer RNA (tRNA) molecules are approximately 80 nucleotides in length. Their secondary structure includes four short double-helical elements and three loops (D, anti-codon, and T loops). Further hydrogen bonds mediate the characteristic L-shaped molecular structure. tRNAs have two regions of fundamental functional importance: the anti-codon, which is responsible for specific mRNA codon recognition, and the 3' end, to which the tRNAs corresponding amino acid is attached (by aminoacyl-tRNA synthetases). tRNAs cope with the degeneracy of the genetic code in two manners: having more than one tRNA (with a specific anti-codon) for a particular amino acid; and 'wobble' base-pairing, i.e. permitting non-standard base-pairing at the 3rd anti-codon position.
Source: Rfam by way of RNAcentral
GGGGCCGUAGCUCAGCUGGGAGAGCGUCGCAAUGGCAUUGCGAAGGUCAGGAGUUCGAUCCUCCUCGGCUCCA